GAUCCUGGCUCAGAUUGAACGCUGGCGGCAUGCUUUACACAUGCAAGUCGAACGGCAGCACGGGUGCUUGCACCUGGUGGCGAGUGGCGGACGGGUGAGUAAUACAUCGGAACGUGUCCAGAAGGAGGGGGAUAACGCAUCGAAAGAUGUGCUAAUACCGCAUAUGCUCUGAGGAGGAAAGUAGGGGAUCGAAAGACCUUACGCUUUUGGAGCGGCCGAUGUCUGAUUAGCUAGUUGGUGGGGUAAGGGCCUACCAAGGCGACGAUCAGUAGUUGGUCUGAGAGGACGACCAGCCACACUGGGACUGAGACACGGCCCAGACUCCUACGGGAGGCAGCAGUGGGGAAUUUUGGACAAUGGGCGCAAGCCUGAUCCAGCAAUGCCGCGUGCAGGAAGAAGGCCUUCGGGUUGUAAACUGCUUUUGUACGGAACGAAACGGUCCGGGUUAAUACCCUGGGCUAAUGACGGUACCGUAAGAAUAAGCACCGGCUAACUACGUG
This 500-nucleotide ribosomal RNA is filed under the name uncultured bacterium. Its description in RNAcentral is "bacterial SSU rRNA". It matches the Rfam family "Bacterial small subunit ribosomal RNA", at positions 15 to 507 of the family's 1533-position model. The record is from RNAcentral.